This 345-nucleotide long non-coding RNA is filed under the name Homo sapiens (human). RNAcentral's name for it is "HSALNT0333158". Lineage: Eukaryota; Metazoa; Chordata; Mammalia; Primates; Hominidae. The record is from RNAcentral.
UUCGCCCUAUCAAAAUACUCCACUAAAAUAAAACUAAAGGAGUUUCUCAGAAUGCAGAAAUCUACAAGGACAAGAAGACUGAGAUGACAGCAGCAACAAUAUCACGAAAGCCAGAAAACUGAUUCAUGCAGCCUGCCACAGAACUCUUGAAUUUGCAAAACAAACUCUGUACCCAUUAAACAGUAACUCCAUUCCUCCACCCCUGCUCCAGGAAAAAAAUAUACAUCCUUUCUGGAAAUACGGGCCUAGGAGUUAACUGCAGGAACUAAGAGUGCUAGAAUUCACCAAGAUCAUUACUUCCCACCUGGAUUUGGUAUCCUUAAAGGAGAAAGAAAAAAAAUUCUU